This is a long non-coding RNA of Odocoileus virginianus texanus, 1187 nucleotides long. RefSeq lists it as uncharacterized. Lineage: Eukaryota; Metazoa; Chordata; Mammalia; Artiodactyla; Cervidae. The record is from RefSeq and is a predicted model, not a curated record.
CCGGCACCAUGACUCGGGCUGGAGCUCUCCUGCUGCUCUGAGCUGCCUUGCUUCUCAUCGCGGGCGGAAAGUGUGAUGACAUCUGUCAGGCCUUGAGGGAUAGCAUCAACCUGUCCAUAUUGGGAAGCCAUGACACUUAUAUCGAACAAGUUGAAAAGUAUAACAAAACCUCUGAUGUACUGGAGACUGCCGAUACCCUGAAGAGCUGUGCUGAUAAGAGUUUGACAGCCAAGGAUAAGCAGGAUGCUCUCAGUGCUCUGGUGGGUCAGGCUAUCUGUGAAUGUGGCUGUGGGGUCUGUGUGGGGGUGAGGGUGUCAGGGGCCUGCUCAGGGCACUGGGAAGUGGGGGGAUCAUAUCCUCUCCACCCUGGCCCUUCCCCAGGAACCUGGGUGCAAAAAGAUCCUCAUGAACGAGGAGGUAGAGAGGAUGUGGCCAACACCCACAGUGUGAGAAAGGAUCCUGCAGGAAAACUUAGUCCAGCCCUGGGGCUCUUGAGCUGGCCCUGACUGCUCAGCUCUGCCUAGUCACAGUCCUGGGACCCUCCAGGCCCUCCUGACUCUGUGGUGCCACCUGCUUGGGAGUUAGGCCUUCAGCACUGGUCUCCCUGACUCCAGCCUCUCCAACACAUGAACCUGAAUCUGCUGCAAUCCAUUAGCAUUGAGUCCUUCCCUCCUCCAAACAUCAGUUGUUUCCCUUACUGCCUGAAACCCUUCUCUAUCCCACCUAAACCCCGCAUUUCUCCUUGUUCCCUGGACCCCAAUGGGACAUUUAUGCCCCACAUGCCCUAAGAGGAAGCUGCUUCCAAAAGUUGCCCUCCUGUCCUCCCCAGGCCUGGGAUGCCCAGAGUUGAGGGUCAGGGUCAAUCCUCUAGAAAUAGACAGCAGCCCCAGCUCACCACAAAGAGAGAAAUCCCAUGGUCUGUAAUAAAGACCCAGUACAGUUAAAAAAAAAAAAAAGAGUAUCAACAACCAUCAAAAUUAGGAUCUUUAAAAAAUCAAAACAGUUGAGAAACCUGUAUCACUUUUCAAGAAAAGAAAUAAGACACAAAUUACCAUAAUAAAGUAAAGAGAGAUGUCUUUAUUGGUUCCACAUACAUAUAAGGAGAAAAUAUUAUGAACAAAUUAUGCCAAUUAAUUUGAUGGCUUAGAUGAAAUGGACAACUUUAUUAAAGAUAAAAAUUAUAAAAA